This 220-nucleotide ribosomal RNA is filed under the name Clostridium argentinense. RNAcentral's name for it is "partial 16S ribosomal RNA". It matches the Rfam family "Bacterial small subunit ribosomal RNA", at positions 1 to 213 of the family's 1533-position model. Lineage: Bacteria; Bacillati; Bacillota; Clostridia; Eubacteriales; Clostridiaceae. The record is from RNAcentral.
UUAAAUUGAGAGUUUGAUCCUGGCUCAGGACGAACGCUGGCGGCGUGCCUAACACAUGCAAGUCGAGCGAUGACGUGCUUACUUUGUAAGCAAGGAUUAGCGGCGGACGGGUGAGUAACACGUGGGUAACCUGCCUCAUAGAGGGGAAUAGCCUCCCGAAAGGGAGAUUAAUACCGCAUAAAGUAUGAAAGUCGCAUGACUUUUAUACCAAAGGAGUAAU